GGAGAGGUGGCCGAGUGGUCGAAGGCGCACGCCUGGAAAGUGUGUAGGCGGGAAACCGUCUCGCGGGUUCGAAUCCCGCUCUCUCCGCCA
This 90-nucleotide transfer RNA is filed under the name Mesorhizobium sp. YM1C-6-2. Its description in RNAcentral is "tRNA-Ser". It matches the Rfam family "tRNA". From Rfam's summary of the family: Transfer RNA (tRNA) molecules are approximately 80 nucleotides in length. Their secondary structure includes four short double-helical elements and three loops (D, anti-codon, and T loops). Further hydrogen bonds mediate the characteristic L-shaped molecular structure. tRNAs have two regions of fundamental functional importance: the anti-codon, which is responsible for specific mRNA codon recognition, and the 3' end, to which the tRNAs corresponding amino acid is attached (by aminoacyl-tRNA synthetases). tRNAs cope with the degeneracy of the genetic code in two manners: having more than one tRNA (with a specific anti-codon) for a particular amino acid; and 'wobble' base-pairing, i.e. permitting non-standard base-pairing at the 3rd anti-codon position. The record is from RNAcentral. Lineage: Bacteria; Pseudomonadati; Pseudomonadota; Alphaproteobacteria; Hyphomicrobiales; Phyllobacteriaceae. RNAcentral also lists the same sequence under 6 other names.